RNAcentral lists this ribosomal RNA (497 nucleotides) under uncultured bacterium. RNAcentral's name for it is "partial 16S ribosomal RNA". It matches the Rfam family "Bacterial small subunit ribosomal RNA", at positions 28 to 507 of the family's 1533-position model. The record is from RNAcentral.
GAUGAACGCUGGCGGCGUGCCUAAUACAUGCAAGUCGAGCGAACAGACGAGGAGCUUGCUCCUUUGACGUUAGCGGCGGACGGGUGAGUAACACGUGGGUAACCUACCUAUAAGACUGGGAUAACUUCGGGAAACCGGAGCUAAUACCGGAUAAUAUUUCGAACCGCAUGGUUCGAUAGUGAAAGAUGGCUUUGCUAUCACUUAUAGAUGGACCUGCGCCGUAUUAGCUAGUUGGUAAGUUAACGGCUUACCAAGGCAACGAUACGUAGCCGACCUGAGAGGGUGAUCGGCCACACUAGAGCUGGGACACGGACCAGAGUCCUACGGGAGGCAGCAGUCGGGAAUGUUCGGCAAUGGGCGAAAGUCUGACGGAACAACGCCAAGUGAGUGAUGGCGGUCUUCGGAUCGUAAAACUCUGUUAUUAGGGAAGAACAACCGUGGAAGUAACUGUGCACGGAUUGACGGUACCUAAUAAGAAAGCCACGGCUAACUACGUG